Molecule: ribosomal RNA, 556 nt
Filed under: Pellifronia jungi
Lineage: Eukaryota; Metazoa; Mollusca; Gastropoda; Neogastropoda; Terebridae
Description: partial 12S ribosomal RNA
Source: RNAcentral
CACCAAGAAAUUAAGUCAUAUUAAAAUGGUAAAAAGACAGUUAGACUUAUAGUUUUAAAAAGGCUAUUUAAUGUUUUGCAUAGAGGUAAAAUUUAAGUGCAAUAAUAUAAUUUAGUAGUAGCUUAAUGUGUUGAAUCUGUGAAAUCCUUGAGGGAAACUGGGAUUAGGUACCCCAUUAUUCUUGGGUAUAAAUUAAUAUAUCUUAUGUUUUACCAGAGUACUAUGAAUUCUUUAAAAUUUAAAACUCAAAGAACUUGGCGGUGUUUUAGACCACUUAGGGGAACCUGUCUCAUAAUCGACGAUCCACGUUUUACCUGACCCUUUUUUGUUUUCAGCCUGUAUACCGUUGUCGUCAGGUAACUUUUUAGAAUUUAAAAGUUAGCUAUAUAAAGUAUAAUUUAGUACGUCAAAUCAAGGUGCAGCUUAUAAUAGGGGGAGGAUGGGUUACAAUUAUUUAUUUAUAAUUUACGGAAUAUUGUGUGAAUUAGCGAUAUAAAGGAGGACUUGAAAGUAAAUUGGAUUAUAUAAACAAUUUGAAUAAGGCUCUGAAACGUGU